Molecule: long non-coding RNA, 377 nt
Filed under: Homo sapiens (human)
Lineage: Eukaryota; Metazoa; Chordata; Mammalia; Primates; Hominidae
Description: non-protein coding lnc-NRIP1-11:1
Source: RNAcentral
ACUUUUAGAAAGCGAGUGAUCAUGCUUAAACCACAAAGAAUCAGAAUUCAUCAACCAGUGUCUCCAAUCAGUGUCUGAAAAGUAGAAACAAGAAUUUGCUUUACCUCUAGAGCAAACAUUAUAAAUGAGUGAUAAACACGUUUUUUUGAUUUCCUAAAAAAGCAAAAACAAAACUAACGGUAUUUUUAAUUGGGAUCAAACUAAACCCAUAAAUCAAUUUAAGAAGAACCGACCAGUUUAACAAUGGUCUUCCAAUUCAUGAAACAGCGAAUGUUGUUUGAUUCUUUCCCUCUUGUUUACUUCUGUGGUUUGGUGGUUUUCUAUAAUGCUAAGCUUUGUUUCCUUUCUUGUUUGUCUAUCUACUAUAAUUUUUCUUG